This 253-nucleotide ribosomal RNA is filed under the name uncultured bacterium. RNAcentral describes it as "partial 16S ribosomal RNA". It matches the Rfam family "Bacterial small subunit ribosomal RNA", at positions 524 to 776 of the family's 1533-position model. The record is from RNAcentral.
UACGGAGGGGGCUAGCGUUGUUCGGAAUUACUGGGCGUAAAGCGCACGUAGGCGGAACAGAAAGUCAGAGGUGAAAUCCCAGGGCUGAACCUUGGAACUGCCUUUGAAACUCCUGUUCUUGAGGUCGAGAGAGGUGAGUGGAAUUCCGAGUGUAGAGGUGAAAUUCGUAGAUAUUCGGAGGAACACCAGUGGCGAAGGCGGCUCACUGGCUCGAUACUGACGCUGAGGUGCGAAAGCGUGGGGAGCAAACAGG